ACUGUGAUGGGCAGCCCCACCAGAGCCCCACAGUCACCAAAUGGAAGACUGCCGGACAGGUGACAAGCUGUUUCUACAGCAGCUGCCAGUCCCCUGGCCUGGCCGUUUAACACGCGGCCGAGUGAGAGGCCGGGACACUGCAGGAGCGGUCCCUGAAGGGGAAGCAGUGGAGAAACGUCCGAUUUUGUCUGUUCAGCGAGAACUGUUGAAAGUGGUGUGUUCCAAAGCCUCGCCGGAGUGGCCUGGGCCCUUGGAAGAAGCCGGUGCGGGGGGGCUGAUGGAGCGCCGUUCCCGGGGCAGCUCCUGUCUUGAGAGAGACUUGGCAAAACCGUGGUUUCUCCGGGAGGAACCGCCCUCUUCCUCCGAAGGCGGAGAAUGGAGAGAUUACAAAUCAUUAAAAGUCCAUCCGUCCCUCUGUCACCGGGUUCCAUGGCUACGGCUGCAGAAAAGACUGGAGAUUUCAGAGGCGGGUGACAGUUUGGCCCUGGCACCAUUGUCUACCUGCACGGCGGUGACAAUGCAGGAUGGGGCUGAGGAUGGUCCUGCUGAUGGUGCUGGCAUCCUGGGGUGGUUUCUCGGGCCUGGGGCCUCCCUUGACGGAGCUCCUCUUCUGAGAGCUGCCAGGAAGGUGACAACGCAUUGGGUUGGCCAAGAAGUUCAUUAGUUGUUUUUGUACGAUGGCUCCAGGAGCGCCUCGUUGUCUUUAACUUCAUUCGAAACAGUUUUGUUAGAUAGUGUGGUAACAGCUGUCACGUCAGCGUGCAUUUAAACAAACUUCUCAAAAUUGGUAAAUUUUUGUGCAGCCGUUUGAAUAUUGAAAAUGGAAGGAAAUAUGCAAUGUUAGGCUUUAUUAUUUCAAGAAAGGUCAAAACACAAUUGAAAUGCAAAAACAAAGACCUGUACGGUGUAUGGAGAAGCUGCUGUGACCGAUUGAACAUAUCAAAGGUGGGUUGUGAAGUUUCCUGGUACCGUUGACAUUGUGGCCAAAUAACUCUCUGCUGUGAGGCCGUCUGAUGCACUGGAAGACGGUUAGCAGCGCCCCCGGCCUCUGCCCAUCAGACGCCAAUAGCAGGAGACAGCCGACGUAUU
Molecule: long non-coding RNA, 1089 nt
Organism: Phyllostomus hastatus (greater spear-nosed bat)
Lineage: Eukaryota; Metazoa; Chordata; Mammalia; Chiroptera; Phyllostomidae
Exons: 3
Source: RefSeq, a predicted model, not a curated record